GUAACUCUGAGCCCAAUGAUGACAAUGGUACUGCAGGAAUUAUAGGUGGUACAGUUGCUGCUGUUUGUACUUUGAUACUUGCAGCGGUUUUGCUUACUACUUACUUCUAUAGAAAACGGCAAAGUCGUUGCGAAAUUGACCGACCGAGAGACGAAAGUACCAUCAAAGAUGAUACUCGGAAUAUAUCAAAACUAGAAAAUGAUCACAAUAGGUAAGUAAAAUGGCAUUUACUAUGCACACUUAGAUUGAUUUAUUGAAUAUGUAUCGAAUUUGUUGUUUAUUUCAGGUACGACAACCUUGCCAUAUGUCAGAAAAGAAAACCUACCGAAACGUCUGACCUAGAUUUUGACAUUAAGGACGGCGAUGUCAAGAAUGGGGAAAUAAGGUACGAAGGGUUAACGACUCUUGGAUACACGGGCGAAAGAGAUUAUUCUGAACUGGAUUUUGCACAAAGACAUCAGGACACCAACCAGAGACAACCUACGGCCGAACUCGAAACCUACGAAAACAUUAGACUUGAUACAAGAAAAACUGCAAGCUUAUCGAUUUAAAAUCUUCACCGAAGUUAACAACGAUCACUUACAAAAUGUGUUGGCAAUUUGAUCCAGGAUCGCUGCGUUUGGAGAGUUACCAGAUGAUAACUAACCAUAACUUCUUGUUUUGUUUUGUUCAACAUAUUUGCAACGUACUUUGAUAGUUGACACUUAAAAUGCAAACAAGAUAUUACUCCUACAAACUGAAAGUAUAAUUAUCGCAAUAUCAAUUCAAUUGCAAUUUGUUAUUAACACAAUUUUGGAAAUUUCUUUUAAACUGUAAAUGUGUUCAUAGCGUUGUCGCCACUUGCUACCUUUGUCACAAAAGCAAGGGCCAUUAUUAGUAUUGCCCAUGGGCAAUGCAUGCGAAUACCAAAUAUUUCAUCUAAAAAAAUCUAUAUCACUACAGUUUAAUUUGAAGUAAAUAUAUAACGUAAAACGCUAUGAAUUAUGAAAAAUGAAUUUAAAUUGUUACAAUGAUUAUGUCAAUUUUAGGUUGCUUGUCAUUCUAAAGUUCUAGACAAUGAGUGAAAAAUAAGGCACUACAAAAAUGUCAAAAAUGUGUAGGUACACACAUCAGCAAAUUUACAAUUCCUCUCUUACCUAUGGCAGAAAACAAUGCAACACAUAAUAUGCUUAUUUUGAUAUAAUCCAGCGUUUGCACUAAUGCUGUCCCGGUAUCUCGAGGACACAACAUUUCGUGGAGGGAUUGUCUGGCAGACAGUGUGUAUAUAUAUACCAAAAUACAUGCUAGGGUAAAGAAGAAAUAAGUAAGCAAUCAAAGAAAAAAGUAGUACUUUCCAUCUGCGAUCAUGAUGUUCAAAUGUUUGCUUCAUUAUGUAAUUUCAUCACAUGAAUGACCACUUUGUUUUUACUUGUCUACAAAGAACAUAGCGAUGUAAUUUACACUUGUACAACUUGAUAUAGUACGUAAACAUGAAUCAUGUAAAUGGUAUGUUUUCUAUACAUCAUUGUUAAGGAGCGUAUGGGUGAUGAGGCCAGACGUGGUAUAAGAAAAUCGUGUAAAUCUGGAUGACGAACGGGUGGUGGUUUAUGAGUUUUCCCCAAAAAGAGGGUUUUAUCCCAGUUUUUUAUCGGUCAGUCUACUACGUCUUUAAGUUCCAUUUUAUGUCAAGCAUGUUGUUACCUAAACAUACUUCGCUCAUGUUGCCAACUCGUGCUGUUUAUGUUAAUUGGUUUCUUUGAGACUUCAAAAAGAAGAACAUUGAAAUAGUAUUGAUUUUGUAUUUUUCAUUAGGAGAUUUUAGAAUGGUAUUCAGGGGCGUCCUGUUUCGCUGACCUCUCAAAAGCAGAUACCCCUACAUAUAUAUGUAUAUAUGUUAUUUUAAUGUUAUUAUUCGAAUCCGUACUGCUGUGUUUUGAUGUUGUGUGUCAAUUGUUUAACAUCCUUAAUGCCUUAAAAAAGUGCCUCUAUCGGGCGAUCGCUCGUAAACGGUUGAAGUAAAUAACUCAAAGUACAACGACCAGGCCAGUAAUAACUCUUAUUUGACCUAAACAUUUCAUUAAAAGCAAAAAAAUAAAGGUCAACAAUCACUUAUCAAGAGACAAAACGUUACUUAAAGAAUGUAUCAAAACAGUUGCAGUUUCCACUGAACGUGCCAAGUCUACGCUUGCAUUUACUAAUGACGAUAGUUUCAUGGUUGUAUGAUUUGUGUUGUCUUGUGGAUUUUAAUGUGAACGAUUACUAGAUUUUUUUGCCUGUUUCUAUAUGUCUAUAUACCUUGGUUGAAUAUUAUUGUCAUUGGC
This is a long non-coding RNA of Mya arenaria, 2300 nucleotides long. RefSeq lists it as uncharacterized. The transcript is spliced from 5 exons. NCBI's taxonomy places the organism in Eukaryota, Metazoa, Mollusca, Bivalvia, Myida, Myidae. The record is from RefSeq and is a predicted model, not a curated record.